GAUCAUGGCUCAGAUUGAACGCUGGCGGCAGGCCUAACACAUGCAAGUCGAACGGUAACAGGAAACAGCUUGCUGUUUCGCUGACGAGUGGCGGACGGGUGAGUAAUGUCUGGGAAACUGCCUGAUGGAGGGGGGAUAACUACUGGAAACGGUAGCUAAUACCGCAUAACGUCGCAAGACCAAAGAGGGGGACCUUCGGGCCUCUUGCCAUCGGAUGUGCCCACGAUGGGAUUAGCUAGUAGGUGGGG
RNAcentral lists this ribosomal RNA (248 nucleotides) under uncultured bacterium. RNAcentral's name for it is "partial 16S ribosomal RNA". It matches the Rfam family "Bacterial small subunit ribosomal RNA", at positions 15 to 257 of the family's 1533-position model. The record is from RNAcentral.